Molecule: ribosomal RNA, 485 nt
Filed under: uncultured bacterium
Lineage: Bacteria
Description: partial 16S ribosomal RNA
Rfam family: Bacterial small subunit ribosomal RNA
Source: RNAcentral
AAUGAACGCUGGCGGCGUGCCUAGCACAUGCAAGUCGGAUGUGCCGCAAGGUGCAUGGCAGACGGGUGAGUAACGCGUAGGGAAUCUACCUUUUUGUGGGGAAUAACGCUCCGAAAGGAGUGGUAAUACCGCAUGAGACCGUGAGCUGGGAUGUUCACGGUGAAACCUGGGGACCGCAAGGCCUGGGGCAAAAAGAGGAUCCUGCGUCUGAUUAGCUAGUUGGCGGGGUAAUGGCCCACCAAGGCGACGAUCAGUAGCCGGCCUGAGAGGGUGAUCGGCCACACUGGAACUGAGACACGGUCCAGACUCCUACGGGAGGCAGCAGUGGGGAAUUUUGCGCAAUGGACGAAAGUCUGACGCAGCAACGCCGCGUGGGUGAUGAAGGUCUUCGGACUGUAAAACCCUGUCGUCAGGGACGAAGGUGGCAGUGUUAAUAGCGCUGUUACUUGACGGUACCUGGAGAGGAAGCCCCGGCUAACUCUGUG